GCUCGCUCGGGGGCGCGCUGUUCCUCUCUUUAGUUCAAUCACGCUCGGUCACGUGACGCGCACACGUUUAUGAGGUAGCAGUCAGAAGUGAGCUGUCAUAGAGGGUAACAGCUCUGAGUUUUCUUCUGUAAUGCCUGAAGAGUUUGGAGAACACCUGAUAAGAGAUCAGAAACCAUUUUCUUCAUCCGGAAUCACUCCAGACCCUUUAGAUUCACAGCUCCAGAAUCUAUGAUGCCAUGUGUCUAAACAAGAUGUCCAGGACCUCCAGCAGAAAUAUAGGCCCACAACAUUAAAGAUCCAGCAGUAUGUUUAACCAUGGGCAUGGGCUACUUUUUUAUCCCUGUUUGCACUAAACCCAUCUGGUGGGUUUGCUGCCAAAAAGCUCUUUUUUCAGUUUCAUCUGACCAUAGAAGCCAGUGCCAUUUGAAGUUCCAGACGUGUCUGACUGAAUAUGCUGGAGUUUGUUUUUGGAUGAGCGAGGAGAAUUUUCCUUGAAACCCUCCCAAACAACAUGUGGUGAUCUAGGGGAUGUUUGAUAUAUGUUUUUUUAGGUUUCUGACCCCGAGACUCAACUAAUCUCUGCAAUUCUCCAGCUGUGACUCUUGGAGAGUCUUUAGCCACUCAAACUCUCCUUCUCACCGUGCAUUAGGACGAUAUAGACACAUGUUCUCUUCCAGGCAGAUUUGUAACAUCUUUAGUUGAUUGGAACCUCUUAAUUAUUACCCUGAUGGUGGAAAUGGGAAUUUUCACUGCUUUAACACUUUUCUUACAGGCACUUUCUAUUUUGUGAUGCUCAGCAAUCUUGUUCUGCACAUCAGAACUAUAUUCUUAGGUAUUACUCCUUGUGAUGGAUGAUUAAGGGAAUUUGGCCUUUGUGUUCCUUAUAUUUAUAAAAAUUGGAAGUAGGAAAUUUUAUUAUUAGGAAGUAUUAUUCCUUAUUUCCUUUCAGGAAUCCAGAAAAUGUCAUUACCCAAUUUCAGAUGGAGUCAUACAGCUGCAGCUCACAUGAAUGAGAGUGGCAUGUUUGAGGU
Long non-coding RNA from Onychostoma macrolepis, 1031 nucleotides. RefSeq lists it as uncharacterized. The transcript has 3 exons. The record is from RefSeq and is a predicted model, not a curated record. NCBI's taxonomy places the organism in Eukaryota, Metazoa, Chordata, Actinopteri, Cypriniformes, Cyprinidae.